AAAAGACACUGCUACUUCUGACUUUUCCUUGGUGUCCAUGAAAAGCAGUGCCCGAGGCAUCACAUCAGCAGUGAAUCCUUCUCCAUGGCAGUGACACAGAGAGGUCAGUUCUGAUUUAAACCUGCUACCUCCUAAAGAUUCCUAACAUGAUUCUCAUGCACUGGCCAAAACUGCAGUACUUCGUAAAGCAGAAAAUACAGGAAAACUUCACAUUCACAUGGAGAACUGUAUUCCCAAGAGGAAGGAAGGGAAUCAUGGCAGUGUUUCCCUGAUUACUGGGGUUAGUAUGAUCCUAUUAAAAACCAGCAUUCAGACUGACAAUAUUUGGAUCAAGAGCAUCUGACCACAUCCCUUUAGCCCUCAUGACACCUUUGUGAGGUGACAAGCUGAAGAUAUUCCUAAGGGAAGCCUCACCUCUGACAUUCAGCAAGACCGUGAGCAUUCUGAACCCUUGAAAUUAAUAGAAAUGGGCAUCUCUCACAGCUACCCUCAAUCAAGUGAAGGGCUAUUUGCAAAAAUUAGAGGUCUCAUUUUUUUGAAGAGGAAAGGACCACUGACUACUCUGAGCUUUUUCAGUCAUCCACAGAAAUGAGCCUGAGAUGGACCAUGGGCACCUCACCAAGGAUGUCACAGCAACCUGUUCCCAGAGCACUGAGGACACUGGCACUUCUGAGAAUGAAACCUCUUGUGUUAAGUGGCUUUUUCGUACUUCAUGGGGAAUAUCUCUAAAACAGGUCUUUAUUUUUAAAUGGGGGUUUUUUUGUAAGAUUGAUUUUACCUCAAGACAUCACAAUCCCAACAUUCAUGUAAGGAUGAAUACAUGCACAAAUCCAGAUGACCCAAACAGAAAAAUCAUGCUUCCCUGGCAUGUGAUAUCGUAGAAGGCAUGUUCAGUUUUCAGCAGAGAAAAACAUUUACAGAAUUCUACCUUUUCACAGAGGGAAAGCACAGUCCCAGCUUGGAUUAUUGCAACCUGCUCUUCGUUUCUCAAAUUCUAAAAUACAAAAAGAUGCAUUUUAAAUUGUGUCAAAAAUUCAUCCUUUAACACAAGAAAUAACUGUACUUCAAAAAACAAAUAAUUUAUAACAUUUAGAAUUAUAGACAUGACCAAAAAAGUAUCCCACUAUUGAAAGUAUUAAAAGUUAAACCAGGAGUGCUUAGUUUCCACUCAAUUUCAGUACAUCACCUCCCCAACACUUUUGCAACAAUUUAUUUUUUGAUGAAAAUUAAGUGGCUUCUGUGAGCAAUUUUAAUUUUUUUUUCCCUUAGGCCUGUUAAUUGGACUAUGGCCCUACAGCAAGUGAAUCUCCCCUUUGUGCACUUUCAGAGCUAGACUUCCCAUUAACGAAAACAAUGCAAAGAUCAAGUACAAUAGAAACCUCCACAGAAUUUUCAACAUAAUAUGUAAAUCUAGAACUUAAAACUAGCAUUGUAAAGACCUCAAUCUCUUAAAACUAGCUAUAAACUGGACCCAGCUCGCUGGAUGUUUGUGCCAUAACUGCAUGACCAAGAUUUUAUUCUAUAUUUGGCACUGUAGAAGAAGAAAGGGAGACAGUUAUCCUUGCCUUGCCUUUCUCCCAGAAAAUCCACUCCUGGCAGAAAAUAGCCUUCACAGUAGUAGGUGAUACUAUUACUACUCAAAAGAAAAAACUCACAAACAACUUGGUCUGGUUUUCAUUUCUGUUUUAAAUCUGUUUUUAUUUCCUUUUAUAUCUAGUCUGGGUAUAAUCUUUUCCCUCUGCCUACUACAGUGCCUUUUUCUACAUCAUUCAGUCAAGACCAAAUCCUAGCUUAAAAAAAUACACUUUUCACUGGUAUCAUUUUAACUGAAAGACUUCAAGUUUGUAAAAGCAGUACCUAACCAUUCAUAUUCUUCAUACAAAUACAUACAGGCAUAUAAAAAUCACCCUCUGUAUUUUCUUGGAUGUUAUUAUCUGCUGUGGAGAAAAAAAAUGCAUUAAAUUAACCAUAAAACUGAAGAUAUAUUUAAAAUUAAAAAUUUGUUACCCCAUUAUCUCCAAGAAUAUCUAAUUUCUUCAUAAGUUCAGAUAUGUUCACAUCCUGAAAAAGAUGUUCAACACUUAUUUUUUUUAAAGUAGGUGAGAAAUAGAUUAUAUAUGCUACAUUUUAUGUACUGUUUAUUCACUUCUGCAUGCAAAAAGAGUACAAAUAAGUGAAACAUUAGUUUUGUAUCACAAUUACAAAAGUGUUAUUUAUACUUUCAAAGACAAAACAAAAUGUCACUUUUGAUUACAGUAAGCAACCAAGCAACCUGAAUGUUUGUGUAUGAGGGCAGAAUGUUCCUGCACCAUUCACAUUUAUCAUUCUGCUAAUGUAUGUAGAGGAACGAUCAAAACUGAUAAACAGGUUUAAAAGAGUGUUUAAAGACAAAAGGUUUAAAAACCAUUUUUUUGUUUGUUUGGAGUGGACCAUCAACCACAUCAACCUACAGAAGUUAAAAUGACAGAGAGCAUGAACAAAACAAUUGCUAAGAAGGUUCACUGGGUGAUUUGCUGUUUGCUUUUUAUUUUCGUUGUUAAACAAAAGUAUGGAGUUUCAAAUCAGCCUUACAGUGCCAGAAGGGAAUGUGUGCAGAGGGCUGAACAUGCUCCUCCAAACACCAUCAGAUCAUAACCUUUGUGAGUAGAAAGCUAUGUUUCUCUGCCAGUCAGCUCUCAGAUCCACAAAAAGAACUGAACAACCCCUCCUUAUUAAGGUCCGGCCACUGAAAUAAAGAGAAACACUGCUCUGAUCCAAAAAAAAAAAAAAAAAAAGAGAGAGAGAAAGGAAUAAAUUCACAUGAUGUUUUUAUUUUGCACUGUGCCAGGAUCCAUUCUGAGGUCCCAGAACUCUAUUUUCUACUUUAAAAAAUUGUUGGAAGGGGUCAUGGAACUGUCUAACCUGCCCUAAUCACAUUCUCCUGAACUAUUCCAAGUAUGGACCACAAGUUCACAUGGACCAGGGAUCAUUUCCGUUGACAGGUUGUAUGCAGCUAUGUCAUUAAAAAGUAGGAAGGUUUGACAACGUGGGAAAACAUCAGUUCGUGUGAGCCCAAAAUGCUUCAUACACAUACAUAAAGCAAACCAGCCUUGUUAAACGCUGCCACCCUCAACUUCUACUCAUAUUUAGCACUGCUUAGAAGAGGCCAGUAUUUCACAAGGAUCUUGGCUCACCUAUUUCAUUGCUUCCAGUACAUAACGUGCUGCUUUGCAUUUAUGCUUUGGGCAACUGCAUUAUGUCGGUAGUCAGGAUAAUCAAUCUUUAACAUUUUUUAAAGCUAAACCAGCUAUGCUUGCAAAUUACAUACCUACAUCAGAAUAUAUUAGCUCAUGAUUCUAUAAUCAACAGACUCCAGUGAGGAAGGCUCAGAAAGAAAUGAAAGAUUUCCUGAAGACCAGACACAGAUGUGGGAGAGAACAAAUUAGUCCAGUAAAGUGUUGUGUUCAAGUUGUUCGAUCCUGAGAAGUUCCCUCCCUCUCUUUCAUCUCUUCCCAAACACUUCACUGGUGUUCCCAAAUGUUAUCUUAGUUAUUUAACACUGCACAUCACUAACUCUAGAGUGGUGCACAUCUUAACACACUUGUAUUUGGAAUGAUGUUAAAAACAAAGUACUGAUUAUGAUAAGCAAUGACAAUGUUGAAUGGAAACUUCUUUAGCCAAACAGUAAUGCUAGUAAGGAAUUAAAUUCACUAAGACAUACAAAAUUUUGCAUCUAUUGAGCCAGAAAUAAUCAUUCUAAUUCAUUUUUUCCAUAUGAACUAUAAAGGAUUAAUUAGAAACCAAACCAGAUUUUGCAUCAUUUUGGAAUCUACCAUGCUACUGAUGGCUAACAACUUCGAAAAUCACUAAAAGCAGAUAAAAGGUCAGCAGUGUCAGUAUGCUCAUGUUAGGUGACUGCCACUCCUUACAGGUAAGUAAACUGAAGGUCAGCCUGAAAAGAACAUUGCUGUUAAUGACUGUCACAGUAGACAAUGGGGAAAAAUAGGAAUUCUAGAUCCUGGUACACUGUUCCCGCUUACAGCCAACAUGCGAGUUAGAAUGAUGGAUAAGCUAAAAGCAGGUCUGGCAUCCCACAGAGGUUCUAUUUGAAAGGUAAUACACUGACUGAUGACUCUUGAUGUGGUUAGGGAGAUGAGUAUCCAACCAAACCUGUAGGUAAGAAUGAGGUUUUAACUUUUUUCUUUUAGACUACUGAGCUUCCUAAAAAUACGCAGCCUACAAUUUCAGUUCAUUUCCUCUAGAGAUCGUACUGCACUCAUUAAGGCAUUGAAUAGGAGCAAGCCUCAUAUAAGAGGACUUGUAAACACAAUUAAAAAUAUUUGCAUAAAUCACUAUGGCACUAAGAUUAUGCCUUAGUUACCUGUAGAAAAGUUACCCUGGCCUGUUGUGCAACAUUACUGACAGCAUAAGUCUGAAUUCAAUCUUAGCUGAAGCAGCAUGCAAAUCAAGUGUCACAGCUAGCCUGUUCAUGGGGGAACAGAAGUGAAAUAAGUAAUUCUUGAUUCCCCUUAGCAAAAGCUAAGGGAGAGCCUGAUGUUUGUCUUGUACUUGAUCUAAAAUGAUAGAUUUCCACCUAUCUGGGUUUGGAUCAGGCAGCUCAUGCUUCAAGGCCCUGGCCUAGGCAAAUAACUUUAGUAUGUUCAUUCAACAAACAAAAUGCUUCACUAAAUUGGGUAUAAAAUAAUAGCUGAAUGUUGUAUUUCUGAACUUAGAUGAAAACAUUUAAUAUUAAGAAAAAUGUAGUGUAGCAAGUCUGACAAUGAAUCACAUCAACUUCCACAUUCUUCCCUAGACCGAAUGUAAAUUAUUUUGAUGGAUCAGCCUUAAUGUUCACUGAGGAACUCCUGAUUGACUACCCGAACAGAUUCUUAGGAAAUUCUUUCCCGGGUUAAAAAUAUCUUUUCUUACUAAAUUUAUUUUUUCAUGUUUUCUUCUCUGGGAAAUGCCAAACAAUUUGUUUGGAUAUUAGGUUGGUCAUUCCAAAAAAGUUCCUAGCCAUCCAACUGCAUGCUCUGCAUAUACCUUUAUUCCUUCCUGAUGACAGAACAGUUGAAGUGCACUUCCAUUGUUUUCAGGGAAGGUGGUUAUAUGAAGAUUAAAUGCUGGAGACCUUCGCUCUCUCUCCUGAGGAAAGAUUUAUUUAAAAACAACAUGUGUGAUUAUCUGUAAACAUUUAUUCCCCACCUUUACAAAACAUACUUGCAUAUUAAAAAGGCAGAUUCCUGUUCACAUUCCAAAUAUAUGAUAUUUCCUCAUAUUUUUACCAUAUUUGAAGAAUUUUGGCUUUAGCUAAACACAAAAAUGGUGUUAGCUGCCAACUGACUCCAUGCACACUUAGUUUCUGCAAAGUUACCAGACACUCCUCAGCUGCAGGAACCCUUGCAACAGUGGUCCUAAUUGACAGAAGUUCUAAAAUACUCUACAGGUUUUUAUGAUGAUUAUAACCUUAUUUAGCUAUCGCUUUCUUUCGUGGAACAAAAAAACAAUUUGAAAGAAGAAACUGCAAAAAAAAAAUUUAAAUUCCAUCAUGGAAUAGCAUUAUCACUGAAGAUUUUCUCACUAAAACUAAAGCUGUGUAUCAGCAGCUCCUUGUUUAUUCUACAGUCAGCCUUCCUGUUAGAGCGUUUAAAAUCUCAAUUCAUAUUUACUGUACAACCCAGGAUGUUAGAAAAUGUUGAAAGGCAGCACUAUUCUACCGUUACGAUGUUCUUUGUGCCCAAAGCAAAAAUUAUAAGUUCCCAUUUAUCUAAAACUAUAGUAUUUCUAAAACUUAUCCAGUCCAUCUACUUGAGUUUUAUGCAUUUCUUCAAAAUACCAGCCUAUUAUUUCUUCAAAGGCAGAAAUAGAGUAAAGCAAUAAACAAGCAAUUUUACUUAAAUUAAAUUUUAAUGUGCUUGUGAAAAUGACUGGAUUGAAGGCUCUGGGCAACCAAGGCACUGAGUCUUACUCUGAAUUCUCUCUGGCCAUGGGAACACAAGCGAGGAACACCAGAUUUCAUCUCCAUGUUACAAGAGGAGGCUUUGGCAUCAACAGUUUCAUUUCCUGAGAGAGAGUACUACUGCAAAUAUUUUAGUUUUUAUGACUAUGUGUUGCUCCAUUUUCUAAACUACAAAAUGAGGUAUUUUAAUUGAUAUGGCAGGCGGGCUGCAUCCAUUCACUUAAGCGAGUUACAAAGCAUGGUAAAUCUUGUUCAUGAACUAGAUUAAACCUAAUUUGAAACUACAAUGUAGAGAGGAAAAUCUCCAUAGUCUAUACAUUUUUCCCCCUCACAGGCUUUAUUUUAAAUAAUAUUUACAUUAACAGCCUAAUUCUGAAAUGGGCUUAAAUGACUUAGCUGUCAUAACCCAAACCCAAAAGCUUAAUUCUUGUCCAAAUUGUUAUCAUUUUCUAUAUUGUUAAAAAUUAAUCAGUUGCAACUGCAUUAAACUCACCUAAAUUUGCUUGCAUUAAAUUUUAAACAAAUGAUUGUGUUUUCUACUUUAGCCUAAUUUUCAUCUGAAAUAAUUUAAUUGCUCUAACAAAUAUUGUCCUGAUUAUCAGAAGCAUUGAUGGUUUUCCUAAAGCAUUGCAUUGUCAGUCACAUUUGUGUCUACAUGCUUGACUACUAGGGAAAAACAUCUUUUCUUGUAAUCAUACAAAAAUACCUCAAUUGUUAUUCUGUAAAACAAGUUUUUAAAGCUUUGGCACAUGACAAAAUUCAACAUGACACACUGAGCUUUUUCUGAUGUGAUUCUUCCAUGUGAAAAAUACACUAAUGAAGGAUGUACUGAAGAACAUUUGUUCUUUUCCUAAGAAUUUUUUUCAGCGGUUUUAGUUCUAAGAACACUGACAUUUUAGGAAGCAGUUUCUAAUGUAACUGCCAAUUCAAAUACUAAAUCGUUCUGUAUUUUACUUUACAGUUCUUUUAAUAAAAUAUAAAGACGUAUUAGAAAGCAUAUUUAUUUUUCUGAACACCUACUGAAAUUCUAAUAACCUAAAUUCAUAACUUUGAAUAUAAUGGGCUACGACAUCAAAACAUAUGGUUGAAAAAGGAUGAGAAAAAGAUUAAGAAAUGUCAAAGGCAAAAAGAGCGUCCGCAUAACAGGAAGACAUGACAUUUCCAUCUUUAUCAGAGAAGCUACACAUGCCGAGAUUUUUGGUGAAACGUGCUGGGUGAUAAAAAUUAUGGAGGAGUGACAAUGACAGGUUUCUGGGAGAGUUUAUUCUAAGUGGUGUUAAGAAUGCUGAUGAUCUUUGAACGAUGUGUCAUCAGGCAACACAACUGCGUGACAACUGUGCAUCACACACACUAGUUUAGUGUUCCUAAAUUCAACAUGAGCCCAAUUAAUCAGGUGAUGAGAACCAUUGUUUUCUGUUGAAAUCACAGCCUACAUGUUCAAAUUGUUAUUAACAAAUAAUUUUGUAAUUUUUAUUUCAUUUAUGCAAAGUAUAGAAUUUGUUUGCUAUGGGCAACAUAUUAGUCUGACAUACACUUGUGCUUCACUACUUUACUUUGACUUUGUCAGAGGGUUUUUUGUUUUCAUUUUUCAUUGGCCAAUUAUUUCCAGUCCAUGACCAGUUUAAACCAUCAGAAAAUGGAUUUCAGGUAAGAGAAAUUCUUUCAAAGCAUCUAUCAAAAUGUAUUAUUUUUAAAAUAAAUUUUUUUUGUAUGAAUGCGGUCAAUCAAAUCAGUGUAAUUAAAAGCAAUUAUACAUUGAUGUGAUGAAUGUGUCAGAUCUUUAGUCAGAUCACUGCAUGCAAGAUGUGAGAAGGUGUGUUAAUGUAAUCAAUGCCAAACAAGGCUAUAGUAUACAUACCAAGUGAUUUUACAUGCAGGAAAGGAGCAGUUAUGGAAAUGAAACAAAUAAAAAAGGCAAAAUAUUGCAAAACAAAAUAUUUUAUUAGAUGAAAACCAAACUAUAUGCAAUUUAUAUUAGCUAUAUUACAUCUUUAUAAACAUUAGUGAGCAUUCUCUCCAAAACACAUUAAGGCAGUGGCAUCAAAUCUCAUUAUCCCAAGAUACAAUAUUUAAAAAAUAGAUACCUAAGUGACUUCCCUUAAACAUGCACCAGACACCAGUAAUCUUUACAGGAAUUUCAGCUUGGGUUCAAACAUAAUUUCUGCUCCAUUUGAGAGUUUGCAACAGAGAGAAUCUCUUACUUCAAGCUCUAGCACUCUGAAUUCUAA
Corapipo altera (White-ruffed manakin) is the source of this 8166-nucleotide long non-coding RNA. RefSeq lists it as uncharacterized. The transcript is spliced from 4 exons. The record is from RefSeq and is a predicted model, not a curated record. NCBI's taxonomy places the organism in Eukaryota, Metazoa, Chordata, Aves, Passeriformes, Pipridae.